This 4397-nucleotide long non-coding RNA is filed under the name Gallus gallus (chicken). Its description in RNAcentral is "lncRNA (ENSGALG00010018851.1)". The record is from RNAcentral. Lineage: Eukaryota; Metazoa; Chordata; Aves; Galliformes; Phasianidae.
GCCUUGGAGCUGCCUCUGGCUCUGUUCUGUGCCUUUGCUCUUGAUGGGCUGCUGGGGCUGCCCUGUGCCGGCUGGAUGCCAUCUCCCUCCGCCAGCCCCUGGGCUUUCUGGAGCUUUACACAGCUCAAAUCCCCUGCGAAUGGAUAAAUGGGCUCUUCAAAGGCAGAAAGGGAAUCUCUUUCCUGGCUGUUGGAGACAUUAGGUGAAUUACUGCUCCAGCGCUUCAGUCCCGCAAAGUUUCUUCAAAGAAACCCCCAGCCUGGAACUGGUGCGGCUCUGCAGAGGGAAACGCCGCACUGUACUUCAAAGAGGAGAAAAUCUGCAGCUGCCGGGAGCCCGCCUGCCCCAGGAGGUGUCACUGUUGGGACUGGCAGGUUCUUUAGAUUUAUGCAGUAGCCAUGUUUGUCAAAGUAUUUGGCUCUGGUGACAUCAUCUUUGUUGAAACGCCGGACAGCAUGAUGAGUCCCAGAUGUUAAUGCACACUGAGAGUCGAGAAAGAAUAAAAUCCAAAGAUCAACACUAACAGCUCUGGAGGAGUGCACUCACUUUGCACUCUGGGGUUGAUGGAUGAAUACGUGAUUUUUUCCAAGGCAUCCUAAAGCUGUUAAACCUUACAGUCUGUUUUCUUUCUGCCUGGCUUGUAAACUUUCGGCUCGGUGAAAGAAGUUGUGAGUUAUUUUCCUCUGGCAAAUGAAGCUCCAGGCAUGGAUCCCUUGCUGCUGACACAGUGCAAAGGAUAAAAAAGCCAUUUAAAAGACGGGUAAGAACAAACAACGUGAUUAAAGGGAGCUGCCAAAAGCUGUACAAGUGUCAGCUGCCACCACUGCUCGUUACAUGGAUGAAGCUGUUGACUUUUAAUUUAUAGACAUUUGAGAAGGUGUACGUGAAGACUUGAAAAGAAGGCUUUCUUUUGCUAAAAGAAAAAAGAGAACUGUUAUUAAGAACCUCUGCUGAAAUACACUGAAUUACUUCUGCUGGUCUGUGCUAUUUGCCAAUGAGAUCUUUCUGGUUGUGUCAGAAGAUGUUCAGUCUGUCGUUCAGAUCCUCAAGCAGUGAAAUGGAGGAGAUAGUAUUUGACCAUCUGGCACUGUCUUCUUGGGCUUUACUGACUGCAAAAACAGAAGAUGUUCUGCUGAGUGAUGGCUGGUUUUUGUCCUGUCAUGUCCUGAGUUUCCACAUCCCCCUGCUCGAAGAAAUGCCAGUUCUUCCAACCACUUCUUUUUUCCUGGAUACCUGUCAACUGUUCACAUUCAGAGACCUUGGAAGGGUAACCAACUUUGAAGAUUUUGUAGACGGCUUUUUGCCCGAAUGGGAAACUGCUGAGUUUCAUCUCAUCCCUGUAGUGGUUAAUUCCAGGACACUGGGAAAGACCCCGAGCUCUAAACGUUGGAUUAAGAUCUUCACUUCAGCAGCUGAGACAAUCACACUCAGGAAACUGGGAAAAAGAGUCCUGAGGGCAGAAAGAAAGGAGAUCUACCUGGUGGUGGCAGAACAAAAAGAUUACACAACCUUGCAAGAAGAAUGUUAUUUAAGAGAAUCCUCAAAGGCCGCUCUAAGGAUUGCUGCUGAGAAUAAAGCACCUGAGAUGGAUAAUGUUCUUACAACAAAAGAGUUUAAAAUAAAAGGUUCAGUCUUGCAAGAUGUGAAUAUAAGAAGCUAUCUUCAACUGAAAAGUCUAUAGAAGAGAUUUUGGAACAAACAGAAGAUCAACAGGAUCUAAUUGUGAGGAGCGGACGAUACUUCUCCAGAUGGAACUGAAAUGUGAAAUUACAGAAUUUUAACUUCGGUACCAGGUGCCUGAAACUGGAAACUGAGCUUCAUCUUUAGUGCUCAGUAAUGUAUCCCUAUACUCAUGGAGAAAAAAAAACUUCAGUCCUAUGAAAAAAUGUCUUUCAAAGCAUUCAGGUGCAAAGAGUGAGUAAUGUGGUGAUCAGAAGGAAGGCUGACUGUCUGAAAAGAAGCUGGACCCAGUAAAACCGGUUGAGAAGGGACACAAUUGCUGUCUAUAAAUUUAUGAUGAGGUGACUACUUCAUCAACUUGGCUUUUCACUGGCAUAGAAGAACCAGAAAAUGAACCUGGCACUAGAAGCCUGUGUUUCUUCUGCAGCUGGGAAAGCGGUGGGCCUCUCCAGAGCAAGAUUCACCAAAGGUAAAUUGUUAUAGGAUUUUUCUGCAGGGAAAAGGGCUGCUAGAAUGGACCAUGCCAAAGUAUGUUACUGGUGGAGUGACAGGUAAAUUGAUAAGAUAUAAAAACAUGAUACAAAAAAGAAGGUUCUUCAGUGAGGUAUGAGUCAUAUGGUAGAUAGCAUAUAAAUGAUAAGCAUGACAGAUGAUAACCUGUACUGCCAAGUGCAACCUCUGAAGUAAAAAUGGGCACACAUUUCUCAAAAAAAAUACAGCCAUUGUUCUGUGGUGUUGACAUCCUCCUAAUAGUCAUAUCUGUUCACAGAAGUCAUAUCUGAGAAAAGAAAAUAACAUUUUUGUUUUACAUGGCUUGACAUCUUCAGAAGACUCAACAGGGGAAGAUUUGGUAAUUCUAAAAUUUACAGCACUGUAUAAUUAAAGCACUGAAGAGGUGGAAAAAACCCAACUGUAUAAUGAUUAAGAAUGACUUUCAGACAUUUGUGAUGACACAUCUGCCUCUUAUAUGAAUUUCCCCAAGUUUUCAUAAAAGAAGUGUACUGCAGCCUUGAAAAGCCUGAUUUUAUUACAGAUCAUUGUCAUCACUUCUGAGCUGCUUUUAGGAGAGCUCUUAACUCUAGGGAUCUCCAGCCAGCUACUUGACAAAACACCCCUCACAUGUUGACUUUCAAGGUGCUUUGGCAAACCAUAAUUGGCUAAUUUUGAAGUGCUUUUAUUGGUAUUGGAAACUACCAGUGUUGUGACAUAUAGAACCAACUUCAAUAGUAAUGUCAGAUUUUAUAUAAUGUUUGAAUUAAGCACUAUUGUUCUUAAUUAUUCUUGGUUAACCAUUUUAAAUGAUCACAUAACAAGAAAAAAAGGAGUUAUAUAUUUUAUAAGAGUUCUUAAAUGGGAUGAGUGGAUCUUAAACAUUCAGCAGGUGGAGAGUAUGUGUCUAAUGUGGACAGCAGAGUCCAUGUUUGUAUUUUAUAUGACAAGAAGCAGCAACUUGUUAAUUAAGUAAAUAUUGUAGUAAGUAUGGCUCUGACAUCCACUCGAAGCUUAUAACUCCCCAGGGAACUGAUGCUUAAUUUGUGGCCGUGAUAAUAACAACCUAAUGAACUUCCCAUCUUACUGGAUAGCUUAAUAAACUUCAAAGAAAACAAAACAAGAAUCUAUGAGUAAAAGUACAUCCUUAGCUUUUCAUAAAACAAAAUGAGCAUGAGUCGAGGCCCAGCAUGGCUUCCAAAGUUAAAGCUACCAACUACAAAGCAAAUGUAUGCAGAGAAAUGUACAACAAAAGACAUAGCUUUUAAACCUCCAGUUGAGUUUCCAUAAAUGUUGCUUACAAAAGCUACCAUUCUCUAUGUUAACAAAAAGUUGUGGAUAUGUUCUUCACUAAAUCCUCUUUUCCCAUAUAAUCCACCUUGUGCACUUUAUCUCAAGUGUGUUUUAUCUGAUCUAAUCCCAGGCUCAUUCAUUCUCAGAUAGAAGCAACAGGAUUAUUUCACACUUAAACUGAGCCCAAUCUUUCUGUGUGUCCAUAAGAGGACACCUGGGUAAUGAGAAAUUAUCUAUGGAACAAAAGAUUAAGCAGGUGCUAGGAAAAAAAAAUAAUUCUUUCAAGUAUGGCAAUUUUUUAAGGAAAAUAUAAAACAUUUCAUUGAGAAGAAUGUUCAUAGGAGGCACUACAUUUUAAAAUACAUGAUCUUAUGCCAUACUUAGUACCAAUAUUACUUGGGAUGAGUUAUAUCAGAACAAACAAAAAAAAUCUGUUUCUAUCACUAAAGCAACUUUGAUUUUCCUGGGAUUAAUUUGAAUUUCCGUGGGUUUUAAUCAGGUCAUAGAGACAAGUUCAUAUCCAGACAUAUUUUAUUUUCCUUACUCUACCAGCCCUUAGCUUAAAACACUUUCAGUUUCUGGGACAGGGUGGCAGAGAGGCUUCAGGACUUUGCCUGUGCAUCCUCUUUGGCUCUUAGAGACCUCAAGAUUACCUCAAAUAAUGUCUAUUGUUUCUAGCAUAUACAAGACUCUCGAUGCUGGAUGUGAAGGCAGAGAAACAAUUUACUGUUUUAAAACAAAGAGCCUGUUCCUCAGGAGACAUAGACUGGUAAAGUAUGUCAUUAUUUUCCAAUCAUUCCCUCCUUCCCUUUUGUCAUCAGCCUCCUCCUGGACCAGUGUAUAACAGCAGAGAAUUUGUCCCUUAAUUCUGUAGGCACAGUGAGACUGUGGACUGAUGAUUUGACUUUCUGAGUGGUAGUCCUUUGAGUUUUCUU